This 1522-nucleotide ribosomal RNA is filed under the name uncultured Bordetella sp. RNAcentral describes it as "partial 16S-23S ribosomal RNA intergenic spacer". It matches the Rfam family "Bacterial small subunit ribosomal RNA". The record is from RNAcentral. Lineage: Bacteria; Pseudomonadati; Pseudomonadota; Betaproteobacteria; Burkholderiales; Alcaligenaceae.
AAGUCAUAAUGUUCUGGAGCAUUAUUAUAGUAACAGAGGGUUUGAUCAUGGCUCAGAUUGAACGCUGGCGGGAUGCUUUACACAUGCAAGUCGAACGGCAGCAUGGACUUCGGUCUGGUGGCGAGUGGCGAACGGGUGAGUAAUGUAUCGGAACGUGCCUAGUAGCGGGGGAUAACUACGCGAAAGCGUAGCUAAUACCGCAUACGCCCUUCGGGGGGAAAGCGGGGAUCCUCGGGCCUCGCACUAUUAGAGCGGCCGAUAUCGGAUUAGCUAGUUGGUGGGGUAACGGCUCACUAAGGCGACGAUCCGUAGCUGGUUUGAGAGGACGACCAGCCACACUGGGACUGAGACACGGCCCAGACUCCUACGGGAGGCAGCAGUGGGGAAUUUUGGACAAUGGGGGAAACCCUGAUCCAGCCAUCCCGCGUGCGAUGAAGGCCUUCGGGUUGUAAAGCACUUUUGGCAGGAAAGAAACGGCGCGGGAUAAUACCCCGUGCAACUGACGGUACCUGCAGAAUAAGCACCGGCUAACUACGUGCCAGCAGCCGCGGUAAUACGUAGGGUGCAAGCGUUAAUCGGAAUUACUGGGCGUAAAGGCAAGCGCAGGCGGUUCGGAAAGAAAGAUGUGAAAUCCCAGAGCUUAACUUUGGAACUGCAUUUUUAACUACCGAGCUAGAGUGUGUCAGAGGGAGGUGGAAUUCAUGUGUAUGGUGAAUAUGUAGAUAUGCGGAGGAACACCGAUGGCGAAGGCAGCCUCCUGGGAUAACACUGACGCUCAUGCACGAAAGCGUGGGGAGCAAACAGGAUUAGAUACUCCUGGUAGUCCACGCCCUAAACGAUGUCAACUAGCUGUUGGGGCCUUCGGGCCUUGGUAGCGCAGCUUAACGCGUGAAGUUGACCGCCUGGGGAGUACGGCCGCAAGAUUAAAACUCAAAGGAAUUGACGGGGACCCGCACAAGCGGUGGAUGAUGUGGAUUAAUUCGAUGCAACGCGAAAACUCACCUACCCUUGACAUGUCUGGAAUCCCGAAGAGAUUUGGGAGUGCUCGCAAGAGAACCGGAACGCAGGUGCUGCAUGCAGCUGUCGUCAGCUCGUGUCGAGAUGUUGGGUUAAGUCCCGCAACGAGCGCAACCUUGUCAUUAGUUGCUGCCGAAAGGGCACUCUAAUGAGACUGCCGGUGACAAACCGGAGGAAGGUGGGGAUGACGUCGUCCCCUAUGGCCCUUAUGGGUAGGGCUUCACACGUCAUACAAUGGUCGGGACAGAGGUCGCCAACCCGCGAGGGGGAGCCAUCCAGAAACCUGAUCGUAGUCCGGAUCGCAGUCUGCAACCUCGACUGCGUGAAGUCGGAAUCGCUAGUAAUCUGCGGAUCAGCAUGUCGCGGUGAAUACGUUCCCGGGUCUUGUACACACUGCCCGUCACACCAUGGGAGUGGGUUUUACCAGAAGUAGUUAGCCUAACCGUAAGGGGAGGGCGAUUACUACGGUAGGAUUCAUGACUGGGGUGAAGUCGUAACAAGGUAA